AUGCUUCCUCGAUUCUUGCUGUUGAUGCCGCUGCGUGUCCAAAGUCCAAACUCCGUAAAUAGCACGAACGUGGCGACAGGAUUGCGUUCGCUGCGGUCCUCCAAGAUGUUCGUAGCCUUGCUCAGCGCGAAGCUCUGGCCUGCUCCUACCCCUGCACGGCGACGCACACCGCCAGUCGAUCCAGUGUGUCACGCCGACCGCUGCUCCUGCAUCAGCUCUGGCCUUAUCCUACCCUGGGCGGCGACGCACACCGCCAGUCGGUCCACAAUCUGCCACGCCGACCGCUGCCCCUGCAUUGACAUCCACCACAGGGCCACAGGGGCAUUUGGCGGCAUCGGAGAAGGCCACGAUGGGGGGCUGGUCAGCCGGACCCGGGCCUGGAGGUGGCCUACGAUGCGCGAGGCACGGCCGGUGGCGAAGUGGAUUGUGUAUGUCGCCAGAAUUAUAGCAGACGAAUGCAGCGACGGUUACGUAAGAGGUGCUGGUGUAGCGGAGGAAUAG
Molecule: ribosomal RNA, 501 nt
Filed under: Triticum aestivum (bread wheat)
Lineage: Eukaryota; Viridiplantae; Streptophyta; Magnoliopsida; Poales; Poaceae
Description: partial small subunit ribosomal RNA
Source: RNAcentral